AAAAUGAAAAGCAAGAGGGGUUAGAAACGAUAGAAGAGAUUUUCUUCACAAGAUAAGAAAGAAUGCUCCACAAAAUUGUCAACUAUUAAUCUUCAUUUAUUCCCCAUCCUGAGGGUAUUCUCUCAGCACGUUCGCCUUCUAUCUACUCCAAUUUUCAUCUAUAUAUCCAUAAUAUCUUGUGCCAAACCUUUUUCUCCUUCAUGUCUAAAGAUCAAGUAAUCUUGGAACAAACUCCAAAACAAGAUGUGAAAGAAGAAGAUAUUGGUACCAGGGUUUGGAUGGAAAACAACGAUGAAGGGUCCCGAACACCUACGUCUCAAGAACACAAGAUUUCGAAAACCAGGAUCUGCCCAUCGGCUCCAAGGAAGAAAAAAACCAGGUUCCUCCAUAAGAGAAAAUUUGAAAAUCUGAAGUUCUUUGAAGUUACUGGAGGUGAUGAGGAGAUGGAGCUGUUCUUUCAAUCAUUCACUGAGAGUGCUAGGGUUUCACCACCAGGUACCACUUCCAAGAGGAGACGUAUCAAUCAGUGAUUAAUUUUUUAAGCCAUAUGUUUUAAGGUUAUAUAUAGCAAUAUAUUUAAAUAGAUUAUAGAUCCAAAUGGAGAUUUAGGCUAUAAUUGUGAAUUUUUAGCUAAUCCUGAUGAAUAAUAAUCUAUUUUUUUCCUUUAUUCAUUAGGAAUAUAUAUGUAUAUGUUCCAAUAUUCAGGAG
RNAcentral lists this long non-coding RNA (708 nucleotides) under Olea europaea subsp. europaea. Lineage: Eukaryota; Viridiplantae; Streptophyta; Magnoliopsida; Lamiales; Oleaceae. The record is from RNAcentral.